This 759-nucleotide ribosomal RNA is filed under the name uncultured bacterium. RNAcentral describes it as "bacterial SSU rRNA". It matches the Rfam family "Bacterial small subunit ribosomal RNA", at positions 579 to 1337 of the family's 1533-position model. The record is from RNAcentral.
UUAUGCAAGACAGGUGUGAAAUCCCCGGGCUCAACCUGGGAACUGCACUUGUGACUGCAUGACUAGAGUGCGUCAGAGGGAGGUGGAAUUCCGCGUGUAGCAGUGAAAUGCGUAGAGAUGCGGAGGAACACCGAUGGCGAAGGCAGCCUCCUGGGAUGACACUGACGCUCAUGCACGAAAGCGUGGGGAGCAAACAGGAAUAGAUACCCUGGUAGUCCACGCCCUAAACGAUGUCAACUAGUUGUCGGGGAUUCAUUUCCUUGGUAACGCAGCUAACGCGUGAAGUUGACCGCCUGGGGAGUACGGCCGCAAGGUUAAAACUCAAAGGAAUUGACGGGGACCCGCACAAGCGGUGGAUGAUGUGGAUUAAUUCGAUGCAACGCGAAAAACCUUACCUACGCUUGACAUGCCAGGAACUUUCCAGAGAUGGAUUGGUGCCCGAAAGGGAACCUGGACACAGGUGCUGCAUGGCUGUCGUCAGCUCGUGUCGUGAGAUGUUGGGUUAAGUCCCGCAACGAGCGCAACCCUUUUCCUUAGUUGCUACGCAAGGGCUACUCUAGGGAUACUGCUUUUCGGUCACAAACCGGAGGAAGGUGGGGAUGAAAUCAACCCCUCAUUGGCCCUUAUGUGUAGGGCUUCACACGUCAUACAAUGGUCGGUACAGAGGGUCGCCAACCCGCGAGGGGGAGCCAAUCCCAGAAAACCGAUCGUAGUCCGGAUUGCACUCUGCAACUCGAGUGCACGAAGUCGGAAUCGCUA